AGAAAAAACUUGGAGUAAAAUGGGGCUGCUAACCUUAUUUUGAGUAAUUCGAUUUUAUUCUUUUUCUU
RNAcentral lists this transfer RNA (68 nucleotides) under Neptuneopsis gilchristi. Its description in RNAcentral is "tRNA-Ser". Lineage: Eukaryota; Metazoa; Mollusca; Gastropoda; Neogastropoda; Volutidae. The record is from RNAcentral.